UCUCAGCUUUCUUCUGCUCUUUUUCUGUUCUUCAAUCUUUUUAAUUGUGAAAUUUUUGUGGUUGCUUAUGGCGUUAACUCUGCUGUCCUUGUGAGUUUUAGUAGAUUCUACUUCAUUCUCCUUCUUUCUUUGUUGCACCCAUUUCUUGGUGAUGUGAUUUUGAUAUAUCCGAUUUGAUUUUCUUCAUAUCUUAGAUUUUUCGAUCUCUGCAAUUUUCCUCUUGCUUAGCUACUUCAAGAGAUUUGAGUUUUCACCUUUUUUUUUUAAUUUCAUGGAUUCUGUCUCUUUCUAAUUUUAUCACUUGCUUGAUACUAAUCUUCUAACCUCUGUUGUGUUUGUUUUUACAUUCUUUUGAAUAAUUUCUUGCUAGAUCUACAUACAUGUCAGAAGUUCUAUCUAAUUUUUAUAUGCAUGCUUGGAAAUAAAUACUUAGGUGCGUGUUUUUUGUUUCUAAUUUUGGUUGUGUAACGGUGUUUUUGUGUGAAAAUUUUAUUAUUUGAAGUUGCCUAAUUAAGGUGAAUUCAAAAAGUUUAUUUUUCUGAUUUUCUUUAUAUUUGAUUUCUUGGUUCUUAAAAAAGUGGAUCUAAAGUAGUGAGAUGCUUCUGCUCUCCAGUUUUUGUUCUCUCUCUUGUGAGUUUUGUGUAAUAUGUGAUUCCUAUAAAUGCCUAUCAUCAUUACCAUACAGUUGUAGAGUGAGGCACAUAAGGUGUUUGAUAAGGAAAUCUUUUGCGAGGCACUAUUUGGUUCUUAAACUCUUCAUUAUUUCAAUGUAUUUCAUGCAUUGCAACAGACAUGGGGUGGUCUUCUGUUUUGAAACCAUGACAAGCUUUAACCAAUGACCUGAUCGAGAAAAAAAUCAUUGGUGGAUUUGAGAGGAGCUGACUCGAUGAACAGAAAAACUACUAUCAAUUGAUAGGAAUCAUCAUGCAUCAUCAAUAAACCAUGGUAAACAUCAAAAUGUGCAUAUCUCAUGAUGCACUAUGCUAUUCUGGAAAAGGUCUAUUAUUGAGCUCAAUUCAUGAUUGAUACACAUAGGAGUUCAUUCUUCUGAAUGUGGCAAUGAUGCUGGUCAUGGCUGUUUAACUGAUGCACAAAGCGUUACAAUUUUUUUUGAAGUUAUUGUAGCUGCAUAUAGUGAAUAUGAUAUCAAAGUCAUUUGUUUCAGGGGUUGGGCACUUGGGCAUGUCACACACAAAAUGAUGAAGGAAUUUGCAUUGGAGGUUUGAGAAGAAUGCCACUUAAUAUUAUUCUUACUUUCUUUUUUCCUGACAAGCAGUUGAUCAGAUGUGCUUAAUCCACCGAUUUAUUAUUUCAGAAAUUUGAGAAGCCUAAAAUAUCAGGUAAAGAAUGAUGCUCGCUUUGCACUUGAAAUAUGUCAGCAAGCUGUGACGCUCAGGAUUAUCAUGAUAAGAAGUUGCUAUUGCUUCCCCAGAUCUAUCAUCAGGUAACUGAGCCUCAAAAUUUCAGAUGUUAGUAGCAAGAAAAGAAGAUAACUUUCAAAGACUGAUGACAUAUUACGACAACGACAACGACAACAACCCAGUAUAAUCUCAUUUAGUGGGGUCUGGGGAGGGUAGUGUGUACGCAGACCUUACCCCUACCCUAGGGUAGAGAGACUGUUUCCAAAUAGACCCCCGACAUCCUUCCCUCCAAGAACAUCCCACCUUGCUCUUGGGGAGACUCGAACUCACAAUUGAUGACAUAUUAAUGUGACAAUAAAUAUGUGUCAUAGAUAAAGUGUUGUACAUAUUUUUCUGAUUCUUAUGAGGCAUUCUUAAACUUUGGAUACAUGAUUCAACAAUAAAUGAACUCCAUAUUCAAGUUUCAAAAGAGUGCAAAUAAGGAUAUUGCAACUUCUUUAAAAUAAAAUGGAAACACUUAGCAACAAAAGCAAUGCCUUGUGAGAUCCAUCAAUUUGUCAUCCUUUUUUCAUCCCCUUGACAACUAUUUCCUAUAAUUCAUAGCUAUUUCUCUUAUGCAAAAAGAAUUUGAGACUUGUUCCUUACAUAGGAUAAAGUUUUAUAGUCUGUCACUUCAAGUCUGUUGGGACAAAUGUUGUACCAUGUUAGUAUUUAUAAGUGAUUCAGAGUUGUCAAUAUCCUUCUAGUGUUUUCCUGGUUAAACAUAGUGUUGUAAGAUAAAUUUUUUUCCUCUACCCAUGCUUGAUUCCUCUCUGUUUCCAAAUACUUUUGGUCUCAACAAAAAAGGACCUCUUGCCGUGCACACUCCUAAAAUCUUCUGUUGAUGGCAAGUAAGUUGAUUCUAGCAGUAAUAUGCCUUUGAAGAUGGAUGCAUUAAUCACUUAAAAAAUAUUAUCCGGUAUAGGAUUUUUUUUAACUAAAUUGUUUGUGCACUAGAUAGACUGAAGCAAAUCAGAUUGAUUAAUUCUAUAAAUCUUUAGAUUAAGAUGGACUCUAAAACUUUAUUGCAAAAACUAGAAAUAGAAGAAUACUGAAAAUUUCAAUGUGUUGGGGCACUUCCAACUCUUUGAUGAAAGUAAAUGCGCUUUAACUGCUUGGGAAAUUGCAUUAUCGUGUGUUGCAUGAUGUUUUACAGUUCAAUCCUUUUCAAGUUUGCCCUCUACAUAGGGAGAAUAGGAAAAAAAUGAUUCAUGACUUCAAUUUUGGUUGUCCUACUAUUAUUUAUUUCUUUGCUAAAUCUGAUUUAGUGAUGCUAUGGAAGAAGUCUAACAUAUUUUAUGACUUGAAGUACUUUUCGUGAAUGAACUUAACUAUUUUGUUGUAGACGUAACUAUUUAAUGGAUUGGCUUAGUUUGUUUCCAGUUUUGGUAACAACCAACAUAUUACAUAUAUGCAGAGGUUUCAUGCCACUACAAAGUCGAUUUUCGUGCAAGAGUUUCUGAGUUAUAUUAAGUAGAUUCUUUUAGAAAGAAUCUAGGUUCUCUAAGCUAUUAUGUAAAACGUUCUCUAUUAGUUUUUUUUUCUCAAUUAUUUUCUGCAUCCGCACACUUUUGAUUUUAUUUUACAACUUCUAUUUGUUUUCUUUGGAGAGUUUGGGUAAUAUGAAUUUCAUGCAUAGAUGAUGUUAUUUUAAAUUGGUUUACCUCUUCAGAUAAAAUAUUCCGGGAUUAGUCGGGUCUCUUAGAGACUCGGACACCCGGUGCAAAUCAAAAAAAAAA
Molecule: non-coding RNA, 3139 nt
Organism: Nicotiana tabacum (common tobacco)
Lineage: Eukaryota; Viridiplantae; Streptophyta; Magnoliopsida; Solanales; Solanaceae
Source: RefSeq, a predicted model, not a curated record